CACUAUCGUUAACUGAAUACAUAGGUUAACGAGGCGAACCGGGGGAACUGAAACAUCUAAGUACCCCGAGGAAAAGAAAUCAACCGAGAUUCCCCCAGUAGCGGCGAGCGAACGGGGAGCAGCCCAGAGUCUGAAUCAGCUUGUGUGUUAGUGGAACGGUCUGGAAAGUCCGACGGUACAGGGUGAUAGUCCCGUACACCAAAAUGCACAGGCUGUGAACUCGAAGAGUAGGGCGGGACACGUGGUAUCCUGUCUGAAUAUGGGGGGACCAUCCUCCAAGGCUAAAUACUCCUGACUGACCGAUAGUGAACCAGUACCGUGAGGGAAAGGCGAAAAGAACCCCGGCGAGGGGAGUGAAAAAGAACCUGAAACCGUGUACGUACAAGCAGUGGGAGCACCUUCGGGUGUGACUGCGUACCUUUUGUAUAAUGGGUCAGCGACUUAUAUUCUGUAGCAAGGUUAACCGUAUAGGGGAGCCGCAGGGAAACCGAGUCUUAACUGGGCGUUAAGUUGCAGGGUAUAGACCCGAAACCCGGUGAUCUAGCCAUGGGCAGGUUGAAGGUUGGGUAACACUAACUGGAGGACCGAACCGACUAAUGUUGAAAAAUUAGCGGAUGACUUGUGGCUGGGGGUGAAAGGCCAAUCAAACCGGGAGAUAGCUGGUUCUCCCCGAAAGCUAUUUAGGUAGCGCCUCGUGAAUUCAUCUUCGGGGGUAGAGCACUGUUUCGGCUAGGGGGUCAUCCCGACUUACCAACCCGAUGCAAACUACGAAUACCGAAGAAUGUUAUCACGGGAGACACACGGCGGGUGCUAACGUCCGUCGUGAAGAGGGAAACAACCCAGACCGCCAGCUAAGGUCCCAAAGUCAUGGUUAAGUGGGAAACGAUGUGGGAAGGCACAGACAGCCAGGAUGUUGGCUUAGAAGCAGCCAUCAUUUAAAGAAAGCGUAAUAGCUCACUGGUCGAGUCGGCCUGCGCGGAAGAUGUAACGGGGCUAAACCAUGCACCGAAGCUGCGGCAGCGACACUAUGUGUUGUUGGGUAGGGGAGCGUUCUGUAAGCCUGCGAAGGUGACCUGUGAGGGUUGCUGGAGGUAUCAGAAGUGCGAAUGCUGACAUAAGUAACGAUAAAGCGGGUGAAAAGCCCGCUCGCCGGAAGACCAAGGGUUCCUGUCCAACGUUAAUCGGGGCAGGGUGAGUCGACCCCUAAGGCGAGGCCGAAAGGCGUAGUCGAUGGGAAACAGGUUAAUAUUCCUGUACUUGGUGUUACUGCGAAGGGGGGACGGAGAAGGCUAUGUUAGCCGGGCGACGGUUGUCCCGGUUUAAGCAUGUAGGCUGGUUAUCCAGGCAAAUCCGGAUAAUCAAGGCUGAGGUGUGAUGACGAGGCACUACGGUGCUGAAGUAACAAAUGCCCUGCUUCCAGGAAAAGCCUCUAAGCAUCAGGUAACAUCAAAUCGUACCCCAAACCGACACAGGUGGUCAGGUAGAGAAUACCAAGGCGCUUGAGAGAACUCGGGUGAAGGAACUAGGCAAAAUGGUGCCGUAACUUCGGGAGAAGGCACGCUGGUGUGUAGGUGAAGUCCCUGCGGAUGGAGCUGAGACCAGUCGAAGAUACCAGCUGGCUGCAACUGUUUAUUAAAAACACAGCACUGUGCAAACACGAAAGUGGACGUAUACGGUGUGACGCCUGCCCGGUGCCGGAAGGUUAAUUGAUGGGGUUAUCCGUAAGGAGAAGCUCUUGAUCGAAGCCCCGGUAAACGGCGGCCGUAACUAUAACGGUCCUAAGGUAGCGAAAUUCCUUGUCGGGUAAGUUCCGACCUGCACGAAUGGCGUAAUGAUGGCCAGGCUGUCUCCACCCGAGACUCAGUGAAAUUGAACUCGCUGUGAAGAUGCAGUGUACCCGCGGCAAGACGGAAAGACCCCGUGAACCUUUACUAUAGCUUGACACUGAACAUUGAGCCUUGAUGUGUAGGAUAGGUGGGAGGCUUUGAAGCGUGGACGCCAGUCUGCGUGGAGCCAACCUUGAAAUACCACCCUUUAAUGUUUGAUGUUCUAACGUUGGCCCCUUACCGGGGUUGCGGACAGUGUCUGGUGGGUAGUUUGACUGGGGCGGUCUCCUCCCAAAGCGUAACGGAGGAGCACGAAGGUUAGCUAAUCCUGGUCGGACAUCAGGAGGUUAGUGCAAUGGCAUAAGCUAGCUUGACUGCGAGCGUGACGGCGCGAGCAGGUGCGAAAGCAGGUCAUAGUGAUCCGGUGGUUCUGAAUGGAAGGGCCAUCGCUCAACGGAUAAAAGGUACUCCGGGGAUAACAGGCUGAUACCGCCCAAGAGUUCAUAUCGACGGCGGUGUUUGGCACCUCGAUGUCGGCUCAUCACAUCCUGGGGCUGAAGUAGGUCCCAAGGGUAUGGCUGUUCGCCAUUUAAAGUGGUACGCGAGCUGGGUUUAGAACGUCGUGAGACAGUUCGGUCCCUAUCUGCCGUGGGCGCUGGAGAAUUGAGGGGGGCUGCUCCUAGUACGAGAGGACCGGAGUGGACGCAUCACUGGUGUUCGGGUUGUCAUGCCAAUGGCACUGCCCGGUAGCUAAAUGCGGAAGAGAUAAGUGCUGAAAGCAUCUAAGCACGAAACUUGCCCCGAGAUGAGUUCUCCCUGAGACUUUAAGUCUCCUGAAGGAACGUU
Molecule: ribosomal RNA, 2672 nt
Filed under: Klebsiella pneumoniae
Lineage: Bacteria; Pseudomonadati; Pseudomonadota; Gammaproteobacteria; Enterobacterales; Enterobacteriaceae
Also listed under: 3 other names
Description: bacterial LSU rRNA
Rfam family: Bacterial large subunit ribosomal RNA
Source: RNAcentral